CCUACGGGUGGCAGCAGUCGAGAAUCAUUCACAAUGGGGGAAACCCUGAAGGUGCGACGCCGCGUGGGGGAAUGAAGGUCUUCGGAUUGUAAACCCCUGUCAUGUGGGAGCAAAUUAAAAAGAUAGUACCCCAAGAGGAAGAGACGGCUAACUCUGUGCCAGCAGCCGCGGUAAUACAGAGGUCUCAAGCGUUGUUCGGAAUCACUGGGCGUAAAGCGUGCGUAGGCUGUUUCGUAAGUCGUGUGUGAAAGGCGCGGGCUCAACCCGCGGACGGCACAUGAUACUGCGAGACUAGAGUAAUGGAGGGGGAACCGGAAUUCUCGGUGUAGCAGUGAAAUGCGUAGAUAUCGAGAGGAACACUCGUGGCGAAGGCGGGUUCCUGGACAUUAACUGACGCUGAGGCACGAAGGCCAGGGGAGCGAAAGGGAUUAGAUACCCUAGUAGUC
RNAcentral lists this ribosomal RNA (446 nucleotides) under uncultured bacterium. RNAcentral's name for it is "partial 16S ribosomal RNA". It matches the Rfam family "Bacterial small subunit ribosomal RNA", at positions 338 to 795 of the family's 1533-position model. The record is from RNAcentral.